AGAGUUUGAUUCUGGCUCAGAACGAACGCUGGCGGCGUGGAUAAGACAUGCAAGUGGUACGCUGGCUGUCGGGUAGCAAUAUUCGGCAGUCGGAGUCGCGUUAUGGUGCGUAACACGUGGGUAAUCUACCGCGAAGACUGGAAUAACUUGCUGAAAGGCGAGCUAACACCGGAUGUGAAUGUCGAGGGACAUCCUUUGACGUUCAAAGUCGGGGACCGUAAGGCCUGAUACUUUGCGAUGAACCCGCGGCCUAUCAGCUAGUUGGUGAGGUAACGGCCCACCAAGGCUUAGACGGGUAGCUGGUCUGAGAGGACGACCAGCCACACUGGAACUGAGACACGGUCCAGACACCUACGGGUGGCAGCAGUCGAGAACUUUUCACAAUGGGCGCAAGCCUGAUGGAGCGACGCCGCGUGGGGGAUGAAUGGCUUCGGCCCGUAAACCCCUGUCAUUCGCGAUCAAACCCGGACUCCUAACACGAGUACGGCUGAUAGUAGCGGAAGAGGAAGGGACGGCUAACUCUGUGCCAGCAGCCGCGGUAAUACAGAGGUCCCAAGCGUUGUUCGGAUUCACUGGGCGUAAAGGGUGCGUAGGCGGUUGGGUAAGUCUGACGUGAAAUACUGGAGCUUAACUCCGGAACGGCGUCGGAAACUACUUGACUAGAGGAUUGGAGGGGGGACUGGAAUUCUCGGUGUAGCAGUGAAAUGCGUAGAUAUCGAGAGGAACACCUGUGGCGAAGGCGAGUCCCUGGACAAUACCUGACGCUGAGGCACGAAAGCUAGGGGAGCAAACAGGAUUAGAUACCCUGGUAGUCCUAGCCUUAAACGGUGCACGUUUGCUGUGAGUGGAAUCGACCCCUUUCGUGGCGUAGCUAACGCGAUAAACGUGCCGCCUGGGAAGUACGGCCGCAAGGUUAAAACUCAAAGAAAUUGACGGGGGCCUGCACAAGCGGUGGAGUAUGUGGCUCAAUUCGACGCGAAGAACCUUACCUGGCCUUGACAUGCAAGUAGUAGAAGGAUGAAAGUCUGACGAUCCCGCAAGGGAAGCUUGCACAGGUGCUGCAUGGCUGUCGUCAGCUCGUGUCGUGAGAUGUUGGGUUAAGUCCCGCAACGAGCGCAACCCCUGUGUCCUGUUGCCACCCCUUGACUGGGAGCACUCUGGACAGACUGCCUCGCUUCAACGAGGAGGAAGGUGGGGAUGACGUCAAGUCAGUAUGGCCCUUACGGCCAGGGCUGCACACGUACUACAAUGCCCGGUACAAGGGAAGCGAUACCGUCAGGUGGAGCAAAUCCCCGAAAACCGGGCCCAGUUCAGAUUGUCGUCUGCAACUCGACGGCAUGAAGCUGGAAUCGCUAGUAAUGGCGCAUCAGCUACGGCGCCGUGAAUACGUUCCCAGGCCUUGUACACACCGCCCGUCACAUCAUGAAAGCCGGUUGUACCCGAAGUCGCCCCUUAUAAGGUGCCGAAGGUAUGGCUGGUGAUUGGGAUGAAGUCGGAACAAGGUAGCCGUAGGGGA
Molecule: ribosomal RNA, 1516 nt
Filed under: metagenome
Description: bacterial SSU rRNA
Rfam family: Bacterial small subunit ribosomal RNA
Source: RNAcentral